GACGAACGCUGGCGGCGUGCCUAAUACAUGCAAGUUGAGCGAUGAAGAUUGGUGCUUGCCCCAAUUUGAAGAGCAGCGAACGGGUGAGUAACGCGUGGGGAAUCUGCCUUUGAGCGGGGGACAACAUUUGGAAACGAAUGCUAAUACCGCAUAACAACUUUAAACAUAAGUUUUAAGUUUGAAAGAUGCAAUUGCAUCACUCAAAGAUGAUCCCGCGUUGUAUUAGCUAGUUGGUGAGGUAAAGGCUCACCAAGGCGAUGAUACAUAGCCGACCUGAGAGGGUGAUCGGCCACAUUGGGACUGAGACACGGCCCAAACUCCUACGGGAGGCAGCAGUAGGGAAUCUUCGGCAAUGGACGAAAGUCUGGCCGAGCAACGCCGCGUGAGUGAAGAAGGGUGUCGGAUCGUAAAACUCUGUUGGUAGAGAAGAACGUUGGUGAGAGUGGAAAGCUCAUCAAGUGACGGUAACUACCCAGAAAGGGACGGCUAACUACGUG
RNAcentral lists this ribosomal RNA (497 nucleotides) under uncultured bacterium. RNAcentral describes it as "partial 16S ribosomal RNA". It matches the Rfam family "Bacterial small subunit ribosomal RNA", at positions 28 to 507 of the family's 1533-position model. The record is from RNAcentral.